UUAAGUUAUUAAGGGCGCACGGUGGAUGCCUUGGCACUAGAAGCCGAUGAAGGACGUUACUAACGACGAUAUGCUUUGGGGAGCUGUAAGUAAGCUUUGAUCCAGAGAUUUCCGAAUGGGGAAACCCAGCAUGAGUUAUGUCAUGUUAUCGAUAUGUGAAUACAUAGCAUAUCAGAAGGCACACCCGGAGAACUGAAACAUCUUAGUACCCGGAGGAAGAGAAAGAAAAUUCGAUUCCCUUAGUAGCGGCGAGCGAAACGGGAAGAGCCCAAACCAACAAGCUUGCUUGUUGGGGUUGUAGGACACUCUAUACGGAGUUACAAAGGACGACAUUAGACGAAUCAUCUGGAAAGAUGAAUCAAAGAAGGUGAUAAUCCUGUAGUCGAAAAUGUUGUCUCUCUUGAGUGGAUCCUGAGUACGACGGAGCACGUGAAAUUCCGUCGGAAUCUGGGAGGACCAUCUCCUAAGGCUAAAUACUCUCUAGUGACCGAUAGUGAACCAGUACCGUGAGGGAAAGGUGAAAAGCACCCCGGAAGGGGAGUGAAAUAGAACCUGAAACCGUGUGCUUACAAGUAGUCAGAGCCCGUUAAUGGGUGAUGGCGUGCCUUUUGUAGAAUGAACCGGCGAGUUACGAUUUGAUGCAAGGUUAAGCAGUAAAUGUGGAGCCGUAGCGAAAGCGAGUCUGAAUAGGGCGUUUAGUAUUUGGUCGUAGACCCGAAACCAGGUGAUCUACCCUUGGUCAGGUUGAAGUUCAGGUAACACUGAAUGGAGGACCGAACCGACUUACGUUGAAAAGUGAGCGGAUGAACUGAGGGUAGCGGAGAAAUUCCAAUCGAACCUGGAGAUAGCUGGUUCUCUCCGAAAUAGCUUUAGGGCUAGCCUCAAGUGAUGAUUAUUGGAGGUAGAGCACUGUUUGGACGAGGGGCCCCUCUCGGGUUACCGAAUUCAGACAAACUCCGAAUGCCAAUUAAUUUAACUUGGGAGUCAGAACAUGGGUGAUAAGGUCCGUGUUCGAAAGGGAAACAGCCCAGACCACCAGCUAAGGUCCCAAAAUAUAUGUUAAGUGGAAAAGGAUGUGGCGUUGCCCAGACAACUAGGAUGUUGGCUUAGAAGCAGCCAUCAUUUAAAGAGUGCGUAAUAGCUCACUAGUCGAGUGACACUGCGCCGAAAAUGUACCGGGGCUAAACAUAUUACCGAAGCUGUGGAUUGUCCUUUGGACAAUGGUAGGAGAGCGUUCUAAGGGCGUUGAAGCAUGAUCGUAAGGACAUGUGGAGCGCUUAGAAGUGAGAAUGCCGGUGUGAGUAGCGAAAGACGGGUGAGAAUCCCGUCCACCGAUUGACUAAGGUUUCCAGAGGAAGGCUCGUCCGCUCUGGGUUAGUCGGGUCCUAAGCUGAGGCCGACAGGCGUAGGCGAUGGAUAACAGGUUGAUAUUCCUGUACCACCUAUAAUCGUUUUAAUCGAUGGGGGGACGCAGUAGGAUAGGCGAAGCGUGCGAUUGGAUUGCACGUCUAAGCAGUAAGGCUGAGUAUUAGGCAAAUCCGGUACUCGUUAAGGCUGAGCUGUGAUGGGGAGAAGACAUUGUGUCUUCGAGUCGUUGAUUUCACACUGCCGAGAAAAGCCUCUAGAUAGAAAAUAGGUGCCCGUACCGCAAACCGACACAGGUAGUCAAGAUGAGAAUUCUAAGGUGAGCGAGCGAACUCUCGUUAAGGAACUCGGCAAAAUGACCCCGUAACUUCGGGAGAAGGGGUGCUCUUUAGGGUUAACGCCCAGAAGAGCCGCAGUGAAUAGGCCCAAGCGACUGUUUAUCAAAAACACAGGUCUCUGCUAAACCGUAAGGUGAUGUAUAGGGGCUGACGCCUGCCCGGUGCUGGAAGGUUAAGAGGAGUGGUUAGCUUCUGCGAAGCUACGAAUCGAAGCCCCAGUAAACGGCGGCCGUAACUAUAACGGUCCUAAGGUAGCGAAAUUCCUUGUCGGGUAAGUUCCGACCCGCACGAAAGGCGUAACGAUUUGGGCACUGUCUCAACGAGAGACUCGGUGAAAUCAUAGUACCUGUGAAGAUGCAGGUUACCCGCGACAGGACGGGAAGACCCCGUGGAGCUUUACUGUAGCCUGAUAUUGAAAUUCGGCACAGCUUGUACAGGAUAGGUAGGAGCCUUUGAAACGUGAGCGCUAGCUUACGUGGAGGCGCUGGUGGGAUACUACCCUAGCUGUGUUGGCUUUCUAACCCGCACCACUUAUCGUGGUGGGAGACAGUGUCAGGCGGGCAGUUUGACUGGGGCGGUCGCCUCCUAAAAGGUAACGGAGGCGCUCAAAGGUUCCCUCAGAAUGGUUGGAAAUCAUUCAUAGAGUGUAAAGGCAUAAGGGAGCUUGACUGCGAGACCUACAAGUCGAGCAGGGUCGAAAGACGGACUUAGUGAUCCGGUGGUUCCGCAUGGAAGGGCCAUCGCUCAACGGAUAAAAGCUACCCCGGGGAUAACAGGCUUAUCUCCCCCAAGAGUUCACAUCGACGGGGAGGUUUGGCACCUCGAUGUCGGCUCAUCGCAUCCUGGGGCUGUAGUCGGUCCCAAGGGUUGGGCUGUUCGCCCAUUAAAGCGGUACGCGAGCUGGGUUCAGAACGUCGUGAGACAGUUCGGUCCCUAUCCGUCGUGGGCGUAGGAAAUUUGAGAGGAGCUGUCCUUAGUACGAGAGGACCGGGAUGGACAUACCUCUGGUGUACCAGUUGUCGUGCCAACGGCAUAGCUGGGUAGCUAUGUGUGGACGGGAUAAGUGCUGAAAGCAUCUAAGCAUGAAGCCCCCCUCAAGAUGAGAUUUCCCAACUUCGGUUAUAAGAUCCCUCAAAGAUGAUGAGGUUAAUAGGUUCGAGGUGGAAGCAUGGUGACAUGUGGAGCUGACGAAUACUAAUCGAUCGAAGACUUAAUC
This 2919-nucleotide ribosomal RNA is filed under the name Staphylococcus aureus. RNAcentral's name for it is "23S ribosomal RNA". It matches the Rfam family "Bacterial large subunit ribosomal RNA". Lineage: Bacteria; Bacillati; Bacillota; Bacilli; Caryophanales; Staphylococcaceae. The record is from RNAcentral.